Molecule: ribosomal RNA, 350 nt
Filed under: Bacillus cereus
Lineage: Bacteria; Bacillati; Bacillota; Bacilli; Caryophanales; Bacillaceae
Description: bacterial SSU rRNA
Rfam family: Bacterial small subunit ribosomal RNA
Source: RNAcentral
UUGCUCUUAUGAAGUUAGCGGCGGACGGGUGAGUAACACGUGGGUAACCUGCCCAUAAGACUGGGAUAACUCCGGGAAACCGGGGCUAAUACCGGAUAACAUUUUGAACCGCAUGGUUCGAAAUUGAAAGGCGGCUUCGGCUGUCACUUAUGGAUGGACCCGCGUCGCAUUACCUAGUUGGUGAGGUAACGGCUCACCAAGGCAACGAUGCGUAGCCGACCUGAGAGGGUGAUCGGCCACACUGGGACUGAGACACGGCCCACACUCCUACGGGAGGCAGCAGUAGGGAAUCUUCCGCAAUGGACGAAAGUCUGACGGAACAACGCCGCGUGAGUGAUGAAGGCUUUCGG